RNAcentral lists this transfer RNA (69 nucleotides) under Somateria fischeri (spectacled eider). Its description in RNAcentral is "tRNA-Met". It matches the Rfam family "tRNA". Rfam says of the family: Transfer RNA (tRNA) molecules are approximately 80 nucleotides in length. Their secondary structure includes four short double-helical elements and three loops (D, anti-codon, and T loops). RNAcentral also lists the same sequence under 2 other names. The record is from RNAcentral. Lineage: Eukaryota; Metazoa; Chordata; Aves; Anseriformes; Anatidae.
AGUAGGGUCAGCUAAUCAAGCUACCGGGCCCAUACCCCGGAAAUGAUGGUUCAACCCCCUCCCCUACUA